UGUAAAGUUAGAUCCUUUUAAAAACAUCAUGACAUAAGUUGGUUUAUUAAAGUCAAGGGACUAUUUGUGUAUUUACUUAAGUUAUAAAAUACCCCAAACCCUUCAUUCCCUAACCCUAGCCGACACCCCUUUUUUUCUCUGCCAUUUCUCCGGUCACCGGAGUAAUUCCGGCCGAUAUCCGGCAUGUGCAACCACCACACCAUGACCACCCUCCUCCUCCCUCUUUCACGCACUCCCACACGACCUCUCUCUUCCUCGCGGUUCUUCUCCGACAAGGAAACCGACAGAACCGGCGUGACUAGUGAACCACCAGCCACUUUCUCGCUCUCCGGCCACACCCGACAACCCCUCUCCACUCUCGCUCAUCUCUCUACUCUCAGAACUCACACACUCAUAACCUGAAGAUUUGCCGGAACUCGGAGGAGACGACCGGAGAAACCCGAGGUUACCGAGACGUUGCCGGAGCACAAGCAGGAACUAUCGAACCAUCGUUUGGAUAAUCGCUUACGCCCGUCCUCUUGAAAUUCUCCAUCCUUACUCGUGCGUUAUUUCAAGAAAUUCUUAUACGCAAUCAAUGUUGAUGAUGACGAUGCUAUGAAAAGAAGUAGCGUUGAUGCCUAGAUACACAUAUAGACGUUUAGGUUUAAUAUGUCGUAUCAAUUUUGCUUAUGUUAUCAUGUAUUUCUUUUGAAGUUGUUGUUACUUGAGUUUAUGUAAUGUUGACAAUUGAAAGUUAUGAAAUGAAAUGGGAAUUAUUUAAUUAUCGUCACAAA
Molecule: long non-coding RNA, 773 nt
Organism: Helianthus annuus (common sunflower)
Lineage: Eukaryota; Viridiplantae; Streptophyta; Magnoliopsida; Asterales; Asteraceae
Exons: 3
Source: RefSeq, a predicted model, not a curated record